GCCAGGCGUGGUGGUGCGUGCCUGUAGUCCCAGCUGUUUGGGAGGCUGAGGUGGGAGGAUCACUUGAGCCCAGGAGUUCUGGGCUGUAGUGCGUUAUGCCAAUCGGGUGUCUACACUAAGUUCGGCAUCAAUAUGGUGACCUCCUGGGAGCAGGGGGACCACCAGGUUGCCUAAGGAGGUGUGAACAGGCCCAGGUCAGAAAUGGAGCAGGUCAAAACUCCCGUACUGAUCAGUAGUGGGAUCGUGCCUGUGAAUAGCCACUGCACUCCAGCCUAGGCAAUCUAGCGAGACCCCGUCUCU
RNAcentral lists this signal recognition particle RNA (300 nucleotides) under Cebus imitator (Panamanian white-faced capuchin). RNAcentral's name for it is "Metazoan signal recognition particle RNA (ENSCCAG00000014386.1)". It matches the Rfam family "Metazoan signal recognition particle RNA". Rfam says of the family: The signal recognition particle (SRP) is a universally conserved ribonucleoprotein. It is involved in the co-translational targeting of proteins to membranes. The eukaryotic SRP consists of a 300-nucleotide 7S RNA and six proteins: SRPs 72, 68, 54, 19, 14, and 9. Lineage: Eukaryota; Metazoa; Chordata; Mammalia; Primates; Cebidae. The record is from RNAcentral.